RNAcentral lists this ribosomal RNA (240 nucleotides) under uncultured bacterium. Its description in RNAcentral is "partial 16S ribosomal RNA". It matches the Rfam family "Bacterial small subunit ribosomal RNA", at positions 94 to 334 of the family's 1533-position model. The record is from RNAcentral.
AGCGGCGGACGGGUGAGUAACGCGUGGGUAACCUGCCUCAUACAGGGGGAUAACAGUUAGAAAUGACUGCUAAUACCGCAUAAGACCACAGCACCGCAUGGUGCGGGGGUAAAAACUCCGGUGGUAUGAGGUGGACCCGCGUCUGAUUAGCUAGUUGGUAAGGUAACGGCUUACCAAGGCGACGAUCAGUAGCCGACCUGAGAGGGUGACCGGCCACAUUGGGACUGAGACACGGCCCAA